This 599-nucleotide unclassified non-coding RNA is filed under the name Hevea brasiliensis (rubber tree). The record is from RNAcentral. Lineage: Eukaryota; Viridiplantae; Streptophyta; Magnoliopsida; Malpighiales; Euphorbiaceae.
UUUUUUUUCCUUUUUUUUUUUUAUAAAAUGUGUAGUAAAAUAUAAAAUGGACCCUUUGGUUGAGAACUAUGGCAUGAAAUAACGUGUGGAAUAAAUUGCUUUACCACAUUCUAAAUUACUCAUGGCAAUGUGGAAAGUUUUAUUAGUCAUGCAGAAUUAAACUUUGAGAAUGUGUUCACUAUGAUAUUUUAGCAUUCUAAUUACAAUUGGAAUAAGUAUCAGCAACGACCCAGAACUAAGUGCAAUCACCAUGCUCAGAACUAAGUACAAUCACCAUGCUCAGAAUUUUGAUAAAAAGUAUAUGGUUUAUGAUGUAAUACUGAAAGAAGUUUCAGUAAAUAACUUUAGCAAAAAGAGGUAAAUGAAAAAGUUAGUCCAUGGUUGGACUUAUGGCUAUCAAGAAUCAUGAUGUUAAGUGAUUGUGAUUAUGAAAAAGGAUGAUAUUGGUUACCUAAAGUUACGGGAUGCAAUGAUUAUAUGGAAAAGCCAUGUGUUAUGAGUAAGGACUAGAGCAGUUAGGAGGUUAGUCCAGUAGUUAAAUAGGAAGAUUCUAUUAUAUUAGUAUAUUGUAAUUACUCUCCAGUCAAUUGUAAUUGUAG